AUUUUAUCCAAUGACUAAGAUUUCAGUUUUUCAUAACCAGUCACCGGGAUGAAGAUAGAAGAUGCCCCUUCACCGCCUGAAUGAAGACUUUUCGCCGCCUGGAUCUUGAUGAAUGUCCGGACUUCAAUAACUGACAUUUGUCAUGAAAAC
Long non-coding RNA from Bombina bombina (fire-bellied toad), 150 nucleotides. RefSeq lists it as uncharacterized. NCBI's taxonomy places the organism in Eukaryota, Metazoa, Chordata, Amphibia, Anura, Bombinatoridae. The record is from RefSeq and is a predicted model, not a curated record. The transcript has 3 exons.